This 492-nucleotide ribosomal RNA is filed under the name uncultured bacterium. Its description in RNAcentral is "partial 16S ribosomal RNA". It matches the Rfam family "Bacterial small subunit ribosomal RNA", at positions 29 to 507 of the family's 1533-position model. The record is from RNAcentral.
AGUGAACGCUGGCGGUAGGCCUAACACAUGCAAGUCGAACGGCAGCACAGUAAGAGCUUGCUCUUACGGGUGGCGAGUGGCGGACGGGUGAGGAAUACAUCGGAAUCUACUUUUUCGUGGGGGAUAACGUAGGGAAACUUACGCUAAUACCGCAUACGACCUACGGGUGAAAGCAGGGGAUCUUCGGACCUUGCGCGAUUGAAUGAGCCGAUGUCGGAUUAGCUAGUUGGCGGGGUAAAGGCCCACCAAGGCGACGAUCCGUAGCUGGUCUGAGAGGAUGACCAGCCACACUGGAACUGAGACACGGCCCAGACUCCUACGGGAGGCAGCAGUGGGGAAUAUUGGACAAUGGGCGCAAGCCUGAUCCAGCCAUACCGCGUGGGUGAAGAAGGCCUUCGGGUUGUAAAGCCCUUUUGUUGGGAAAGAAAAGCAGCAGGUUAAUACCCCGCUGUUAUGACGGUACCCAAAGAAUAAGCACCGGCUAACUUCGUG